AUUGAACGCUGGCGGCGUGCCUAACACAUGCAAGUCGAGCGGCAGCGCGGGAGCAAUCCUGGCGGCGAGCGGCGGACGGGUGAGUAACGCUUGGGAAUCUGCCUGUUAGUGGGGGACAACCCGGGGAAACUCGGGCUAAUACCGCAUACGCACUACGGUGGAAAGCCGGGGACCGCAAGGCCUGGCGCUAACAGAUGAGCCCAAGUCGGAUUAGCUAGUUGGUAGGGUAACGGCCUACCAAGGCGACGAUCCGUAACUGGUCUGAGAGGACGACCAGUCACACCGGAACUGAGACACGGUCCGGACUCCUACGGGAGGCAGCAGUGGGGAAUAUUGGACAAUGGGGGAAACCCUGAUCCAGCGACGCCGCGUGGGUGAAGAAGGCCUGCGGGUUGUAAAGCCCUUUCAGUGGGGAAGAAAAGCCUCGACCUAACACGUCGGGGUCUUGACGUAACCCCAUAGAAGAGGCACCGGCUAACUCUGUGCCAGCAGCCGCCGU
Molecule: ribosomal RNA, 499 nt
Filed under: uncultured bacterium
Lineage: Bacteria
Description: bacterial SSU rRNA
Rfam family: Bacterial small subunit ribosomal RNA
Source: RNAcentral